CGUUGCCUGUUAUUGUUUUCUUAUUUUAAAGAGUUUUUUCAGAACGCGUCUCGAACUCUCGGUGUUGUUGUGCAAAUUGUUCAUUAUAAAAUAGAAAUGAGUGUUUCUAUCGAUGCUGAUUCGGCUGUUGACGAUAGUAAUUAUAAUUUAAAAUGGCCACAUUUACAACAGUUUUUUGAACGAGGAAAUAUUGAGGAUAAAAAUAUUGAAUUUAAAUAUUUAUUAUGUAAACCUAAACAUAAGACAUCUCCACUCCACGUACAUCGCAUUCAAACUUGAGAGCACAUAUUAAGAUUAUGCCUCAGCCUUCCAGAAAAAGACACACAAGAAAGAUUCAUUGACAUAUUCAACAAUAUUCAUGAAGGAAAGACAAUGCAAGAACACAUUAGCGAUUUACUCCAACUUAAUUUUAAACGCAAUGACGGAGGAUCACGUAAGAUAUGCCAAAGUUGCUACAGAAAUUUGUGCAGUUUUAAUGAGAUGAAGAAAAAAUCAAAUGAAGCUCGAC
Metopolophium dirhodum (rose-grain aphid) is the source of this 508-nucleotide long non-coding RNA. RefSeq lists it as uncharacterized. Lineage: Eukaryota; Metazoa; Arthropoda; Insecta; Hemiptera; Aphididae. The record is from RefSeq and is a predicted model, not a curated record. The transcript is spliced from 3 exons.